GUUCUAUUGUAAUAUAUUUUAGAUUUAACCUGCCCAAUGAUUAAAUUAAAUGGCCGCAGUAUCUUAACUGUGCAAAGGUAGCAUAAUCAUUUGUCUUUUAAUUGGAGACUUGUAUGAAUGGUUGGACGAGGUAUUAACUUUCUUUUUUUAAAUUAAUUAAACUUAAUUUUUAAGUUAAAAAGCUUAAAUAAUUUUGUAGGACGAGAAGACCCUAUAGAAUUUUAUUGAUUAUUAAAAUUGUAUUUAAAAGUUAAUAAAAGUAUAAUUUAAAUAGUCAAUUUUGUUGGGGUGACAAGGAAAUUUUACUAACUUUCUUUUUUAAUAAAGCAUUAAUUAAUGUAUUUGAAGAUCCUAUAUUAUGGAUAAUAAGAAUAAAUUACCUUAGGGAUAACAGCGUAAUUCUUUUUGAGAGUUCUUAUCGAUGGAAGAGUUUGCGACCUCGAUGUUGGAUUAAAAUAAAUAAUAGGUGUAGCUGCUUAUUUAUUAGGUCUGUUCGACCUUUAAAUUUUUACAUGAUCUGAGUUCAACCCGGAGA
Molecule: ribosomal RNA, 535 nt
Filed under: Trisecus sp. WCW-2003
Lineage: Eukaryota; Metazoa; Arthropoda; Insecta; Hemiptera; Idiostolidae
Description: partial 16S ribosomal RNA
Rfam family: Bacterial large subunit ribosomal RNA
Source: RNAcentral